GAUGUUAGGUUGAAAAUGACUUGUGUAAUGAGAUUUUCGAUGCGGUAGUUAUGGUUCUCAAGUAAUCAAAGAGGCUAUCGAAAUAGUUGCCCUCAAGUACUUGAUAUCAUCAACUUUGAAACAAUAAUUGUUUAUGUAGAAGCCACUAGGGUUGGCUCGGGAACUUGAACCAUCAAAAGAACUUAUUUGUUGAGAAUGAGAA
RNAcentral lists this long non-coding RNA (202 nucleotides) under Lathyrus oleraceus (garden pea). Its description in RNAcentral is "Pisum sativum (pea) long non-coding RNA (PSAT_LNC036437)". The record is from RNAcentral. Lineage: Eukaryota; Viridiplantae; Streptophyta; Magnoliopsida; Fabales; Fabaceae.